GAUGAACGCUAGCUACAGGCUUAACACAUGCAAGUCGAGGGGCAGCACGAACUUAGCUUGCUAAGUUUGAUGGCGACCGGCGCACGGGUGAGUAACACGUAUCCAACCUUCCGUUUACUCAGGGAUAGCCUUUCGAAAGAAAGAUUAAUACCUGAUAGUAUGGUGAGAUUGCAUGAUAACACCAUUAAAGAUUUAUUGGUAAACGAUGGGGAUGCGUUCCAUUAGGUAGUAGGCGGGGUAACGGCCCACCUAGUCUUCGAUGGAUAGGGGUUCUGAGAGGAAGGUCCCCCCACAUUGGAACUGAGACACGGUCCAAACUCCUACGGGAGGCAGCAGUGAGGAAUAUUGGUCAAUGGACGAGAGUCUGAACCAGCCAAGUAGCGUGAAGGAUGAAGGUUCUAUGGAUUGUAAACUUCUUUUAUACGGGAAUAAACGGAUCUACGUGUGGAUUUUUGCAUGUACCGUAUGAAUAAGGAUCGGCUAACUCCGUG
This 491-nucleotide ribosomal RNA is filed under the name uncultured bacterium. Its description in RNAcentral is "bacterial SSU rRNA". It matches the Rfam family "Bacterial small subunit ribosomal RNA", at positions 28 to 507 of the family's 1533-position model. The record is from RNAcentral.